GACUGGGAUAACUCCGGGAAACCGGGGCUAAUACCGGAUGCUUGAUUGAACCGCAUGGUUCAAUUAUAAAAGGUGGCUUUUAGCUACCACUUACAGAUGGACCCGCGGCGCAUUAGCUAGUUGGUGAGGUAACGGCUCACCAAGGCGACGAUGCGUAGCCGACCUGAGAGGGUGAUCGGCCACACUGGGACUGAGACACGGCCCAGACUCCUACGGGAGGCAGCAGUAGGGAAUCUUCCGCAAUGGACGAAAGUCUGACGGAGCAACGCCGCGUGAGUGAUGAAGGUUUUCGGAUCGUAAAACUCUGUUGUUAGGGAAGAACAAGUACCGUUCGAAUAGGGCGGUACCUUGACGGUACCUAACCAGAAAGCCACGGCUAACUACGUGCCAGCAGCCGCGGUAAUACGUAGGUGGCAAGCGUUGUCCGGAAUUAUUGGGCGUAAAGCGCGCGCAGGCGGUUUCUUAAGUCUGAUGUGAAAGCCCCCGGCUCAACCGGGGAGGGUCAUUGGAAACUGGGGAACUUGAGUGCAGAAGAGGAGAGUGGAAUUCCACGUGUAGCGGUGAAAUGCGUAGAGAUGUGGAGGAACACCAGUGGCGAAGGCGACUCUCUGGUCUGUAACUGACGCUGAGGCGCGAAAGCGUGGGGAGCGAACAGGAUUAGAUACCCUGGUAGUCCACGCCGUAAACGAUGAGUGCUAAGUGUUAGAGGGUUUCCGCCCUUUAGUGCUGCAGCAAACGCAUUAAGCACUCCGCCUGGGGAGUACGGUCGCAAGACUGAAACUCAAAGGAAUUGACGGGGGCCCGCACAAGCGGUGGAGCAUGUGGUUUAAUUCGAAGCAACGCGAAGAACCUUACCAGGUCUUGACAUCCUCUGACAACCCUAGAGAUAGGGCUUCCCCUUCGGGGGCAGAGUGACAGGUGGUGCAUGGUUGUCGUCAGCUCGUGUCGUGAGAUGUUGGGUUAAGUCCCGCAACGAGCGCAACCCUUGAUCUUAGUUGCCAGCAUUCAGUUGGGCACUCUAAGGUGACUGCCGGUGACAAACCGGAGGAAGGUGGGGAUGACGUCAAAUCAUCAUGCCCCUUAUGACCUGGGCUACACACGUGCUACAAUGGGCAGAACAAAGGGCAGCGAAGCCGCGAGGCUAAGCCAAUCCCACAAAUCUGUUCUCAGUUCGGAUCGCAGUCUGCAACUCGACUGCGUGAAGCUGGAAUC
Molecule: ribosomal RNA, 1212 nt
Filed under: Bacillus sp. (in: firmicutes)
Lineage: Bacteria; Bacillati; Bacillota; Bacilli; Caryophanales; Bacillaceae
Description: bacterial SSU rRNA
Rfam family: Bacterial small subunit ribosomal RNA
Source: RNAcentral